GACGAACGCUGGCGGCGUGCCUAAUACAUGCAAGUAGAACGCACAGUUUAUACCGUAGCUUGCUACACCAUAGACUGUGAGUUGCGAACGGGUGAGUAACGCGUAGGUAACCUGCCUGGUAGCGGGGGAUAACUAUUGGAAACGAUAGCUAAUACCGCAUAAUAUUAAUUAUUGCAUGAUAAUUAAUUGAAAGGUGCAAUUGCACCACUACCAGAUGGACCUGCGUUGUAUUAGCUAGUAGGUGAGGUAACGGCUCACCUAGGCGACGAUACAUAGCCGACCUGAGAGGGUGAUCGGCCACAAUGGGACUGAGACACGGCCCAGACUCCUAAGGGAGGCAGCAGUAGGGAAUCUUCGGCAAUGGACGAAAGUCUGACCGAGCAACGCCGCGGGAGUGAAGAAGGUUUUCGGAUCGUAAAGCUCUGUUGUAAGAGAAGAACGGGUGUGAGAGUGGAAAGUUCACACUGUGACGGUAUCUUACCAGAAAGGGACGGCUAACUACGUG
RNAcentral lists this ribosomal RNA (505 nucleotides) under uncultured bacterium. Its description in RNAcentral is "partial 16S ribosomal RNA". It matches the Rfam family "Bacterial small subunit ribosomal RNA", at positions 28 to 507 of the family's 1533-position model. The record is from RNAcentral.